This 163-nucleotide unclassified non-coding RNA is filed under the name uncultured fungus. RNAcentral's name for it is "sequence contains ITS2". The record is from RNAcentral. Lineage: Eukaryota; Fungi.
UCAACCAUCAAGCCUGGCUUGUCGUUGGACCCCUUUGCGGCUGAAAUACGUGGCAGGUCCAAAAGAUAAUGACGGCGUCGUGUUUGACCCUAGAUGCAACGAGCUUUUUAAUAGCACGCAUUGAAGUGGUCGGUCGACCCGGUCUUUAACCAUCAUUUUCUAC